Molecule: ribosomal RNA, 526 nt
Filed under: Klebsiella aerogenes
Lineage: Bacteria; Pseudomonadati; Pseudomonadota; Gammaproteobacteria; Enterobacterales; Enterobacteriaceae
Description: partial 23S ribosomal RNA
Rfam family: Bacterial large subunit ribosomal RNA
Source: RNAcentral
GUGGGUAGUUUGACUGGGGCGGUCUCCUCCCAAAGAGUAACGGAGGAGCACGAAGGUUAGCUAAUCCUGGUCGGACAUCAGGAGGUUAGUGCAAUGGCAUAAGCUAGCUUGACUGCGAGCGUGACGGCGCGAGCAGGUGCGAAAGCAGGUCAUAGUGAUCCGGUGGUUCUGAAUGGAAGGGCCAUCGCUCAACGGAUAAAAGGUACUCCGGGGAUAACAGGCUGAUACCGCCCAAGAGUUCAUAUCGACGGCGGUGUUUGGCACCUCGAUGUCGGCUCAUCACAUCCUGGGGCUGAAGUAGGUCCCAAGGGUAUGGCUGUUCGCCAUUUAAAGUGGUACGCGAGCUGGGUUUAGAACGUCGUGAGACAGUUCGGUCCCUAUCUGCCGUGGGCGCUGGAGAAUUGAGGGGGGCUGCUCCUAGUACGAGAGGACCGGAGUGGACGCAUCACUGGUGUUCGGGUUGUCAUGCCAAUGGCAUUGCCCGGUAGCUAAAUGCGGAAGAGAUAAGUGCUGAAAGCAUCUAAGC